AUGAUGUAGAAAAAAUAUUUACCUUUACAGUGAAAUCAAAAGUACAUGAAAUUUUAACAUACAGCAUAAUGUAGUAAAGAGAUAAGACAGUUAGAGAAGUCAGUGCAUCAAGAUCAAAAGAUAAAGGGAAAAUCUACAGCAUGGGAAAACACUUCAUGAAAAUGACAGGAGGGUCUUAAUGGAUCCUCCAUUUCUGUAUUCAUUAACUAUUUGGUCACUUUUCUCUAUUAUAAUUUGUUUUUAUUGUAAUUCUUUUAUUCCAUUAUGCCCAUUUAUAUUCUCUAUUCUUUAAUUUUUUUUUACUCCUAAUUUUCUAUACUUUAAAUUUUUUUUACCCAUAAUUCACUAUUCUUUAUCUUUUAAACCCUAUUUUUCUCUAUUCUUUAUAUGUUGGGCCCUUUUUCUGUAAAUUUGGUCAUAAAUCUCUACUAUGUAAAACCCCAACCAGGAACACACAUGUACACAGUAAUGAUUUUUCAAAACACAGUGCAGGACAUUUCACUUAUAAUGGCUGAAAUUUGAAACUCCUCAUUUUAAGAUUUCUUCCACUGUGUAAACUGAGAUUUAUAUGUCUAUUAAGUAUUAAAUUUGUGUUUCACAGUAAACAUCCGUAAAGUGAGACAGUUUGAAAGUCCCAUCCAAUUGUCAAUUCAACCAGAAUUCUAAAGAGUUUCCAUAUUAGUUCCUUCUCAAAUUCC
Molecule: long non-coding RNA, 698 nt
Filed under: Mytilus galloprovincialis (Mediterranean mussel)
Lineage: Eukaryota; Metazoa; Mollusca; Bivalvia; Mytilida; Mytilidae
Source: RNAcentral